GACGAACGCUGGCGGCGUGCUUAACACAUGCAAGUCGAGCGAGAACCAGACCUUCGGGUCUGGGGAAAGCGGCGAACGGGUGAGUAACACGUGGGCAACCUGCCCCAGAGACCGGGACAACACUUCGAAAGGGGUGCUAAUACCGGAUGAAGUGCCACCUGCCAAGUAGGUGUCACCAAAUGGUAGCUUCGGCCUCCGCUCUGGGAUGGGCCCGCGCAGCAUUAGCUUGUUGGUGAGGUAACGGCUCACCAAGGCGACGAUGCUUAGCUGGUCUGAGAGGACGAUCAGCCACACUGGGACUGAGACACGGCCCAGACUCCUACGGGAGGCAG
Molecule: ribosomal RNA, 332 nt
Filed under: uncultured Actinomycetes bacterium
Lineage: Bacteria; Bacillati; Actinomycetota; Actinomycetes
Description: bacterial SSU rRNA
Rfam family: Bacterial small subunit ribosomal RNA
Source: RNAcentral